UACUUCAUAAGUCAUCUUCAUGUUCUCAAGACAUUUAUCAAUUCCUUGUAGCUCUUCUAUGGACCCUCUCCAAUUUCUCACAUCUUCUUGAAAUGGCGGUG
Non-coding RNA from Chelonoidis abingdonii (Abingdon island giant tortoise), 101 nucleotides. The record is from RefSeq and is a predicted model, not a curated record. NCBI's taxonomy places the organism in Eukaryota, Metazoa, Chordata, Testudines, Testudinidae.